This 253-nucleotide ribosomal RNA is filed under the name uncultured bacterium. RNAcentral's name for it is "partial 16S ribosomal RNA". It matches the Rfam family "Bacterial small subunit ribosomal RNA", at positions 524 to 776 of the family's 1533-position model. The record is from RNAcentral.
UACGUAGGGUGCAGGCGUUAAUCGGAAUUACUGGGCGUAAAGCGUGCGCAGGCGGUUUCUUAAGUCAGAUGUGAAAGCCCCAAGCUUAACUUGGGAACUGCCAUUGAUACUGAUGGUCUUGAGUACACUUGAGGUGGGCGGAAUGUGUCAUGUAGCGGUGAAAUGCUUAGAUAUGACACAGAACACCGAUUGCGAAGGCAGCUCACUAAAUUGUAACUGACGCUGAGGCACGAAAGCGUGGGGAUCAAACAGG